Molecule: non-coding RNA, 5392 nt
Organism: Phoenix dactylifera (date palm)
Lineage: Eukaryota; Viridiplantae; Streptophyta; Magnoliopsida; Arecales; Arecaceae
Source: RefSeq, a predicted model, not a curated record
GAAUAUAAGACAGAGAAAGCCAUGGCUCCUCUCCUGUCUGAGAUCUCAUCCUCCUUUAGUUCCAUCAUUCCAUGCCUACCAAAGCCCAAGAAAACUCCCAGCUGAUGGGAAAUAAAACGACCCAAUCGUCUCCAAUCCCCAGUCUGCACCCGCUCCAGUGGCAUCUCAAGUAACUCCAACCCUUUUUGGUUAAAACCCAUCAAUAAUACCACAUCAAUUAGCUCCGAGACAAGUAGAAGAUGGCGUCCGGCAGCCGGCCGACGCAGUCAUCCGGCGCGAGCAACCUCCGGGGCGGCGGCAGUUCCCAUCCGUCGGAAUCGGUGAGCAAGGCGAUCGCCCAGUAUACCGUGGACGCCCGCCUCCACGCUGUCUUCGAGCAGUCCGGCGAGUCCGGCAAGUCCUUCAAUUACUCCCAGUCGGUGCGCACGGCGACGCCGUCGCAGUCGAUCCCGGAGCAGCAGAUCACGGCGUACCUCUCCAGGAUCCAGCGCGGUGGCCACAUCCAGCCAUUCGGUGCCACCGUCGCCGUCGACGAGCCCUCCUUCCGCCUUCUCGCCUUCUCCGAGAACGCCCCCGACCUCCUCGACCUCCCCCAGUCCGUCCCCUCCCUCGACCCCUUCUCCCCUCACCGCCGCCUCGCCCUCGGCUCCGACGUCCGCUCCCUCUUCACCCCGUCCUCCGCCGUCCUCCUCGACCGCGCCGCCUCCGCCCGCGAGAUCACCCUCCUCAACCCCCUCUGGAUCCACUCCCGCGCCUCUGGCAAGCCCUUCUACGCCAUCCUUCACAGAAUUGAUAUCGGAAUCGUCAUCGAUCUCGAGCCUGCGCGCACCGAGGACCCUGCCCUCUCCAUCGCCGGCGCCGUACAGUCCCAGAAGCUCGCCGUCCGGGCAAUUUCGAGCCUCCAGUCUCUCCCCGGCGGCGAUAUUAAGCUCCUCUGCGAUACCGUCGUCGACCACGUCCGCCAGCUCACCGGCUACGACCGCGUCAUGGUGUAUAAGUUCCACGAGGACGAGCACGGGGAGGUCGUCGCCGAGAGCCGCCGCGACGACCUCGAGCCCUACCUCGGCCUCCACUACCCGGCCACCGACAUCCCCCAGGCCUCCCGCUUCCUCUUCAAGCAGAACCGCGUCCGGAUGAUCGUCGACUGCAACUCCACCCCCGUCCAGGUGAUUCAAGACGAGAGCUUGAUGCAGCCGCUCUGCCUCGUCGGCUCCACCCUCCGGGCGCCGCACGGCUGCCAUGCUCAGUACAUGGCCAACAUGGGCUCCAUCGCCUCCCUUGCCUUGGCCGUUGUCAUCAACGGCAGCGGCGACGACGACGGCAUAAACCGCAACGCCAUGAAGCUCUGGGGCCUCGUCGUUUGCCACCACACCUCCCCUCGCUCCAUCCCCUUUCCGCUCCGCUAUGCCUGCGAGUUCCUCAUGCAGGCCUUCGGCCUUCAGCUGAACAUGGAGCUCCAAUUGGCAGCGCAAUUAUCCGAGAAGCACAUCCUCAGGACCCAGACCCUGCUCUGCGAUAUGCUCCUCCGCGAAUCGCCUGCCGGAAUCGUCACCCAGAGCCCCAGCAUAAUGGACUUGGUGAAGUGUGACGGAGCUGCCCUCUACUAUCAGGGGAAGUACUGGCCGGUCGGUGUCACUCCAACAGAGGCUCAGAUAAAGGAUAUAGUGGAAUGGCUCUCGGCUUGUCAUGGGGACUCGACGGGGCUGAGCACCGACAGUUUGGCGGAUGCUGGCUAUCCGGGCGCGGCAGCACUCGGGGAUGCUGUCUGUGGGAUGGCUGUUGCCUAUAUCACUCCAAGAGACUUCUUGUUUUGGUUCAGGUCGCACACAGCGAAGGAGGUCAAGUGGGGUGGUGCAAAGCAUCACCCGGAGGACAAGGAUGAUGGGCAGAGGAUGCACCCUCGGUCAUCGUUUAAGGCAUUCUUGGAAGUGGUUAAGAGCAGGAGCUUGCCGUGGGAGAAUGCAGAGAUGGACGCCAUACACUCAUUGCAGCUCAUUCUGAGGGAUUCUUUUCGGGAAGCAGCGGAGGGGACAAGCAAUUCGAAGGCGAUGAUCAAUGGUCAGUUUGGGGACCUGGAGUUGCAAGGGAUAGAUGAGCUCAGCUCGGUUGCGAGGGAGAUGGUAAGGUUGAUAGAAACAGCAACUGCUCCCAUUUUUGCAGUUGAUGCAGAUGGACGUAUCAAUGGCUGGAACACAAAGAUUGCUGAAUUGACAGGGCUCCCUGUGGAGGAAGCUAUGGGCAAAUCACUGGUUAAGGAUCUUGUCUUCAAGGAGUCGGCCGAUGUUGUCGCUAAGCUUCUCUUCCGAGCCUUGAGAGGUGAAGAAGAUAAGAAUGUGGAGCUAAAGCUGAAGACUUUUGCCUUGCAACAAUCGAAGAAUGCUAUUUAUGUCAUAGUAAAUGCUUGUUCUAGUAGAGAUUACACAAACAAUAUCGUAGGUGUCUGUUUUGUUGGCCAGGAUGUUACUGGACAGAAAGUGGUCAUGGAUAAAUUCAUUCAGAUACAAGGUGAUUAUAAGGCUAUCGUACAUAGUCCUAACCCUCUGAUUCCCCCCAUAUUUGCUUCGGAUGAGAACACGUGUUGCUCAGAGUGGAACACAGCAAUGGAAAAGAUUACUGGUUGGUCAAGAGGGGAAAUGAUUGGAAAGCUUCUGGUUGGAGAAGUUUUUGGCAGCUGCUGUCGACUCAAAGGUCCAGAUGCUCUUACAAAAUUCAUGAUUGUCCUUCACAAUGCCAUUGGAGGGCAGGAAACAGACAAAUUCCCGUUUGCAUUCUUUGACAAGGAUGGCAAAUUUGUGCAGGCACUUCUGACAGCAAAUACAAGAAGUAAUAUGGAUGGCCAGAUUAUCGGAGGCUUUUGCUUCUUGCAGAUUGCUAGCCCUGAACUGCAGCAAGCUCUUGAAAUCCAGAGGCAGCAGGAAAAGAAAUGCUAUGCAAGAAUGAAAGAGCUGGCUUAUAUAUACCAAGAGAUAAAAAAUCCACUUAGCGGUAUUCGGUUCACAAACUCACUGUUGGAGAUGACAGACUUAACUGAUGAUCAGAAGCAGUUCCUUGAAACUAGUGCUUCUUGUGAGAGACAGAUGAUGAAGAUCAUAAAGGACGUGAAUCUACAAAGCAUUGAGGAUGGCUCAUUGAUCCUCGACAAAGGUGAAUUUCUGCUUGGAAGCGUUAUAAAUGCUGUUGUUAGCCAAGUGAUGAUUUUGCUGAGAGAAAGAGGUUUACAAUUAAUUCGGGAUAUUCCUGAAGAAAUAAAAAUAAUUUCUGUAUAUGGAGACCAAGUUAGAAUUCAGCAAGUCUUGGCUGAUUUUUUGCUGAAUAUGGUGCGGCAUGCACCAUCUCCAGAUGGGUGGGUGGAGAUCCAAGUGAGGCCAAGUUUGAAGCAGAAUGCUGAUGGAACAGAAGUGGUGCUUUUCCAAUUUAGGAUUGUUUGCCCAGGUGAUGGCCUUCCAGCAGAACUUGUGCAAGAUAUGUUCCAUAACUCCAGCUGGGUGACCCAGGAAGGCCUUGGUCUGAGCAUAUGCAGGAAGAUCCUAAAACUGAUGAAGGGGGAAGUCCAGUAUAUCAGGGAGUCAGAGAGAUGUUACUUCCUCAUCUUCAUGGAGCUUCCCAGUUGUUAUAUUGGUGAAAGCAGGGGGAACUAAUCCAGUCAGAGACAUGGAAUUCUCACUGGACUGAUAUUAUGCUAAGCUGCAGCUCUAGUAAAUGGUGCUUGGUUCUCUGGAGCUAUACUAGAUGAGCUAGGCCCAAAAACUGAGAGACAUCUGAAUAACUGCUUGGAAACUCUCCAGUCACGUUGGGAACUCCAUUAGAUGACUGGGGCACUGUUAAGAUCUUGGAUUCAGGAGAUGCAAGGGUACUAUAUGCUGUUGCUCCUGCAAAAAGGCCCGGCGUGCAGGAAAUAUGUAAGAGAAGAAAUAUAAUGGUGUCUUCUGCUGCUUUUUUUGGCAAAUUAUGUUGCCUUCUGCGGGGAUUAUUCCGGCGACCAAGCAAGUGCGCUUCCAGAUAAUUCACAAAGGGAGAUGCCGGAAUGCAUGAUCCAGGGGACAGGAAUCUUAGGAUAGCUUGCCAGCAGCAGCAAAUAUUAUCUUGAGGACGCAGCACGUAGAAGCGGAACAAACCUGAUUCUGUUUCAGCAUAUGGAUAUCAUCUCCCCAACUACAGAUGGCAAACGUAUGGAUAACACUGAAGAGACGUCUGAAAGCAUAAAGAAUGUAAAUGGACAAGGAGUAUUCUUCUGGACCACCGACUACCCAAGUCCAAGAAGGCAAUGAACAGUUGAACACAAGGAUGAGAAAAUGAUGAAAAACAUCAACAAAAAUAAACAAAGGCAAAAAUAUUGAAUCUUUUUAGGUGAAUUGGAAACUCCUGAAUUGCACUUAGAGAUGGCUUUUGGAAAACCAUAACAUACAACUAUACGAGCCAUGCAGCCUUUCGAGUGGACUAGCAUGGAGAAGGCUUUGAUCGAAGUAUUCAAAUCACAGAAACCACAAAGCCAGAAGCCACGGAUAUGUGCCCAGAUUCGAGCAUGGACAAUAUCAAUUUGAAUAAAAAUUUCUAGAAUAAAAAGUAUUAAGAGUACCAAUUGAAAAUAAUUUUUCUUUGAAACCCAUUUGAAAAUAGAUUUUUUAAAAUUUACUCCACAUAAUUCAUUUUCUGCAUGGAGAUGUCUUGUCAAAGAAUUGAGAAAUUGGCAUCUUGAACCUGAAAUAUAAACUUGCCUGCAAAUUACCACCUCAGUAGGACCAAAACACACUCUGGGAGUCUAUAAAUGAUCGACCUCGCCUUCGCAUUGUGCAACACAAAAUCUUGCUCCUCACAGCACGACUUGAAGCUCAUGAGGAGAUGACUAGCCUUGCUGUCACAAUCCAACUGUCUUUUCAAAUACCUCGUGGCAGAUUCUACAGGAGUACAAGUCAAUAGUAGAAUAAUCACUUUCCAUUUUGUACUGUGCACAUAAUUGGGAUGCACUGUGUAGCACUUACAAGUUGAAUAAAGUAGAUAGCCUGUUGCCAUAGAGCUAAGAGAUAUAUCUAUGAUGUAACUGUUAUUGGUAAAGCUCACACUAAAUGAUUAAAUAGUAUAUAAUGUUUCAUUGAAGUAUAAACAUUAUGCUUUUCCUGCAAAACUUUGGCGUAAGUGAAUUGCCAGAGUGAAAUGCAGUCUUUGCAGGUUAUUUGCAAGAUUUUUAACUUUCAAGAUAUACAAAAUUCAGCAGGGGAUCAAAGUUUGCGUGUUGGUUUUCAAGCAUGUCGGCAAAAUGUUGUCAGGUGAUGCAAGAUCACACUGUGGAAUAGGAUUAACUUAUGUCAGUGUAAUGAUGGCUACUUAUAUCUGUAAACAAAUCUUCUACUCCAUCUAAAGAAUCGAAUCCGCCCUUGUGGUAAUGUUUCUUGUA